GGUGGCGUGGCCUAAUGGUAAGGCGUUGCUUUCCGGUCAUUGGAAUCUGGCAAAGACUGUGGGUUCGAGUCCCAUCGCCAUCG
RNAcentral lists this transfer RNA (83 nucleotides) under Cladophialophora carrionii. It matches the Rfam family "tRNA". From Rfam's summary of the family: Transfer RNA (tRNA) molecules are approximately 80 nucleotides in length. The record is from Rfam by way of RNAcentral. Lineage: Eukaryota; Fungi; Ascomycota; Eurotiomycetes; Chaetothyriales; Herpotrichiellaceae.